Molecule: non-coding RNA, 271 nt
Filed under: Allocoprococcus comes
Lineage: Bacteria; Bacillati; Bacillota; Clostridia; Lachnospirales; Lachnospiraceae
Description: Coprococcus comes T-box sequence
Rfam family: T-box leader
About the family: Uncharged tRNA acts as the effector for transcription antitermination of genes in the T-box leader family. T-boxes are found upstream of many aminoacyl-tRNA synthetase genes and some amino acid biosynthetic genes usually in Gram-positive bacteria.
Source: RNAcentral
CAAAAUACAAUGAAAAGAAGUAGUAAAUAUAAUAAGACGUCACAGAGAGUCCUUUAUCGGUGGAAGAAGGAUACCGAAGAUUAUAUUGAAUUCCUCUUGGAGUAGGAUACUGAAUGCAUUCUUUUGAAGAAUUGUUAAUAGGUAUUUCCGGUAGCAGCCGUUAUCUGCAAGGGUAUAACCGUUAUGAACGACGUACCUGACGAGGCAGUUGUCGUGAGACAAUUGUAAAAUGAGGUGGAACCACGAAGUAUAUAAUACUCUCGUCCUCUGU